ACGCCGCGUGAGGAAAGAAGGCUUUCGGGUCGUAAAACUCUGUUGUUAGGGAAGAACAAGUCCUAGUUGAAUAAGCUGGCACCUUGACGGUACCUAACCAGAAAGCCACGGCUAACUUCGUGCCAGCAGCCGCGGUAAUACGUAGGUGGCAAGCGUUAUCCGGAAUUAUUGGGCGUAAAGCGCGCGCAGGUGGUUUCUUAAAUCUGAUGUGAAAGCCCACGGCUCAACCGUGGAGGGUCAUUGGAAACUGGGAGACUUGAGUGCAGAAGAGGAAAGUGGAAUUCCAUGUGUAGCGGUGAAAUGGGUAGAGAUAUGGAGGAACACCAGUGGCGAAGGCGACUUUUUGGUCUGUAACUGACACUGAGGCGCGAAAGCCUUUUAACGGGGCCCGAU
Molecule: ribosomal RNA, 393 nt
Filed under: Bacillus amyloliquefaciens
Lineage: Bacteria; Bacillati; Bacillota; Bacilli; Caryophanales; Bacillaceae
Description: bacterial SSU rRNA
Rfam family: Bacterial small subunit ribosomal RNA
Source: RNAcentral